GACGAACGCUGGCGGCGUGCUUAACACAUGCAAGUCGAACGGAAAGGCCCUGCUUUUGUGGGGUGCUCGAGUGGCGAACGGGUGUGUAACACGUGAGUAACCUGCCCUUUACUUUGGGAUAACUUCAGGAAACUGGGGCUAAUACCGGAUAGGAGCUCCUGCUGCAUGGUGGGGGUUGGAAAGUUUCGGCGGUUUGGGAUGGACUCGCGGCUUAUCAGCUUGUUGGUGGGGUAGUGGCUUACCAAGGCUUUGACGGGUAGCCGGCCUGAGAGGGUGACCGGCCACAAAGGGACUGAGAUAGGGGCCAGAGUGCUACGGGAGGCAGCAGUGGGAAAUAUUGCACGAUGGGCGGAAGCAUGAUGCAGCGACGUCGCGUGCUGGAUGACGGUUGUUGGGGUGGAACCCGCUUGAGCCUGUGACGAAGCGUGAGUGACGGUAAUGGGUAAAGAAGCAACGGCUAACUACGUG
RNAcentral lists this ribosomal RNA (468 nucleotides) under uncultured bacterium. RNAcentral's name for it is "partial 16S ribosomal RNA". It matches the Rfam family "Bacterial small subunit ribosomal RNA", at positions 28 to 507 of the family's 1533-position model. The record is from RNAcentral.